RNAcentral lists this long non-coding RNA (946 nucleotides) under Ananas comosus (pineapple). Its description in RNAcentral is "long non-coding RNA (ACOM_LNC033494)". Lineage: Eukaryota; Viridiplantae; Streptophyta; Magnoliopsida; Poales; Bromeliaceae. The record is from RNAcentral.
AGAACCUAAUAAAAGUAUAUAUAAUGAGAAUAUUAAUUAUUAAAAAUUAUAUUUAAAGCUGGAACUAGGCUAGAAUAUUAUUAAUAGCACAAAGUCAUUGGUGCUAUUAAAUUUUCAGCCAUUGGAUGAAGCGAUGUACGGUUAGGAUGAUAGUGAUCCCCUAUAGUUGAUUGGGUGAUUGGUUGAAUAGUAUAAUCUAACGGAUGAAAAUAGUCAAAGAAAUUAAUUUAACGGCAGAAAACUUGAUAGCACCAAAUACUUGGUGCUAUCGAUAGCAUUGUAGCCGAACUCUUUAAAACUGUCCUAAUUAUUAUUUUUGGAAAAAAUUAUUCUUGGUCGCAACUAAAUAAGGGCUAAAUUAUAAAGGCUAAUAAAAUAUAAUACGAGAAAUUUUUUUUCUUUAUUUUUGUUUUAGUCCCUAGGCUUGAUGAAUCGAUGACCCAUAUAUAAGGUGUUCAUAACAAAAAAAAAAAAAGAAAAGAAAAAAGUUGAAGGGCCCAUUCGUAAUUUCCUGUACUAAAGGGGUCUCCAUACUUUUUAGCUACGUUUUUAUCCAAAAAUAAAAAAAGAGAAAUGGCAAGUUUACAACUGCAAAUUUAUCCAACUGCAAAAUGCAACCAUAUACUUGUUGGUGUCAGGUUGGGCCGAAUCACAUUAGAAAUAGCUGGAUAUCGAAUUGGGCUGAAACAUGUUCGAAGUGGCUUGAGACUGGUCGGAUCGAAUUAUAAUCGAGAUUCGUAAACGAUGUGUCUGAACACUUUAAGUGAAUUAGUUGCGUAUUUCUAAUAGCUCGAACUUUUAGGAUUACCAGUUAGCACUAAUAAAUCGACAGUACUUUUCUCUCUAUCUCAAGGAUCCUCUUUAACAAAACCAACCCUUCAACAAUUUAAGUGAAUUAGUUGAAGCACUAAUAUUUUUUUAUUUUUUUUUUUUUCACCACCCCUGA